CCACACUGCCACAAAGCUGCUUACUCUGCCCUGGGCCGCCUGAGGCCUGGCACUGCCCGCGGACCACCCUGUGUGUGUCAUCCUGAGGGGCUGUGUGGGUCCUGAGUCCCCAGCCAGCCUUCAGGGUCCCCUUGGAUUGUGUAGAUGCAGUCUAGCGGGGGGCCGGAGAAGGGCUCAGGUGGGAGGGGCCUCAGCAGGCUCCCAGCUCAGGGGCUGGCCUGGGGGGAACCCUGGGAGCCAGGGGCUGACUCCAGCAACACUGGCCUGUCUGCCUGUUCUGGGAGGGCUGUGAGGAUGUCUUGCAGAUGCUCUGGAUUUCUGCGGAGGCACCUCCAUUCCUUUCUGGCUUUUUUUGCGGGGGAGGGCUUUGGGCCUCUUUCUUUGAGGGAACACCGUCAAAGAAAGCCUGGGAGAUCGAGGCUGCAGUGAGCCAGGAUGGAAACGCCUGUCCCAAGGGUCCGGAGCAGGCGGCAGAGGCCUCAGUGCGGCAAACACAGCCCCAGAGCCUGUGUGGCACCAGCAGCAUCUUAGAGCCCCAGCUUCUGUGGAUGACCUCUGAUGAGCCUGGGCUGCGUCCAGGCCCUGGGCAGGUAGGCGGGAGCUUCCCUGCGUGGGCCUCAUUUCUUGCUGCAGAGAAUCUUUUGCACUAAGUCACGCUGUUUCCUCAAAGAAGCUUUGUUUUUUUGUUAACGUAUACUCAGAGUCACCCAAGCCCCUUGGCUGAGGGUGAAGGUGGGACGGGAGGCGGGAGGGGGCUGGUGGUGCCGCUCGUGUGGUGUCAACGCUGCAGGGAGUUGUGGCACUUGGUGCCCUCUGAGCACCUGGCGGCCUGCUGUCCCCGGUGCCUGUGAAAUUCGUCAUGCGAUGACCCACCUGCAUUAAACCUAUUUUUUUAAUGUGUUGAUGGAGUGAUUGCUUAAAGUUCAAUUUGUUUUAUUCUGUUUUGAAGGACAUAAUAAUCACCCAGAGCACCAUAGAAAUCAUCUUGUGUAAGAUGGGAAAGUUUUCCCAAACACUUGUUGCCACGCUGGGGAAGGAGCCCCUGAGGCCAGGGUUCCCCUUAUGGGAAGCUGCCCUGGGGAGGUAGCCUAGCUGACAGGCAAGGAUUUGUCAGCAGGGCAGUCACCGGGACACUGCUGUGCAGGCCGGUGGAGGUUGCAUUCGGCUGAC
Molecule: long non-coding RNA, 1170 nt
Filed under: Pan troglodytes (chimpanzee)
Lineage: Eukaryota; Metazoa; Chordata; Mammalia; Primates; Hominidae
Description: long non-coding RNA NONPTRT018003
Source: RNAcentral